Molecule: ribosomal RNA, 385 nt
Filed under: uncultured bacterium
Lineage: Bacteria
Description: bacterial SSU rRNA
Rfam family: Bacterial small subunit ribosomal RNA
Source: RNAcentral
AUUGAACGCUGGCGGCAUGCCUUACACAUGCAAGUCGAACGGCAGCACGGGGCAACCUGGUGGCGAGUGGCGAACGGGUGAGUAAUGCAUCGGAACGUGCCAUUGAGUGGGGGAUAACGUAGCGAAAGUUGCGCUAAUACCGCAUAUUCUGUGAGCAGGAAAGCAGGGGGACCGCAAGGCCUUGCGCUCUUUGAGCGGCCGAUGUCAGAUUAGCUAGUUGGUGAGGUAACGGCUUACCAAGGCGACGAUCUGUAGCGGGUCUGAGAGGAUGAUCCGCCACACUGGAACUGAGACACGGUCCAGACUCCUACGGGAGGCAGCAGUGGGGAAUUUUGGACAAUGGGGGCAACCCUGAUCCAGCCAUGCCGCGUGAGUGAAGAAGGCC